GCCUUCGUGGUGUAGUGGUCAGCACGUUCGGCACGUACCCGAGAGGUCAGUGGUUUGAUUCCUGGCGAAGGCA
This 73-nucleotide transfer RNA is filed under the name Stegodyphus mimosarum. It matches the Rfam family "tRNA". From Rfam's summary of the family: Transfer RNA (tRNA) molecules are approximately 80 nucleotides in length. Their secondary structure includes four short double-helical elements and three loops (D, anti-codon, and T loops). The record is from Rfam by way of RNAcentral. Lineage: Eukaryota; Metazoa; Arthropoda; Arachnida; Araneae; Eresidae.